This is a non-coding RNA of Oryza nivara, 203 nucleotides long. The record is from Rfam. NCBI's taxonomy places the organism in Eukaryota, Viridiplantae, Streptophyta, Magnoliopsida, Poales, Poaceae.
AACAAGCAAACCGUGGAUUCCCAUGUUAACGUUUAAUUGUCCGUCUUAUAUGAAUUUUUUUUAUAAUUAGUAUUUUCAUUAUUGUUAGAUGAUAAAACAUGAUUAAUAUUUUAUAUGUGACUUAUCUUUUUAAUUUUUUUAUAACUUUUUCAAAUAAGACGAACAGUCAAAUAUUGGAAACGGAAAUCAAGGUUUGUCUUUUU